Transfer RNA from Sphaerobolus stellatus SS14, 72 nucleotides. It matches the Rfam family "tRNA". From Rfam's summary of the family: Transfer RNA (tRNA) molecules are approximately 80 nucleotides in length. Their secondary structure includes four short double-helical elements and three loops (D, anti-codon, and T loops). The record is from Rfam. NCBI's taxonomy places the organism in Eukaryota, Fungi, Basidiomycota, Agaricomycetes, Geastrales, Sphaerobolaceae.
GGCGCAAUAGCUCAGUGGUAGAGGAUACGAUUGCGAAUCGUGGGGUGCCGAGUUUAAACCUUGGUUGCACCU